CUGCGAAUGGCUCAUUAAAACAGUUAUAGUUUACUUUGAUGGUCGACAGUUAUAUGGAUAACUGCGGUAAUUCUGGAGCUAAUACAUGCGAACAAACCCGACUUCUCGGARGGGUCGUAUUUAUUAGAUACAUAACCAAUGCCCUCCGGGGUUUUUGGAUGAUUCAUAAUAAACSAAUGKAGCGCGUUGCUUGUGCUGGCGCUWACUCAUUCNAGUGUCUGACCUAUCAACUUUCGACGGUNGUGUAUUGGACUACCGUGGCGGUGACAGKUAACGGAGAAUUASGGUUCGAUUCCNGAGAGGGAUCCCGAGAAACGGMUACCCCAUCUAAAGAAGGCAGCAGGCGCGCAAAUUACCCCNUCCUGACACUGGGCGGUAGUGACAAAAAAUAACAAAGCANGCGCUUACNCUUUCUGCUGAUUGGAAUGAGUACANUUUAAAUCNNUUUUCNACNAUCCCUU
RNAcentral lists this ribosomal RNA (461 nucleotides) under uncultured eukaryote. Its description in RNAcentral is "partial 18S ribosomal RNA". It matches the Rfam family "Eukaryotic small subunit ribosomal RNA", at positions 87 to 551 of the family's 1831-position model. The record is from RNAcentral.